Molecule: ribosomal RNA, 717 nt
Filed under: Triticum aestivum (bread wheat)
Lineage: Eukaryota; Viridiplantae; Streptophyta; Magnoliopsida; Poales; Poaceae
Description: partial small subunit ribosomal RNA
Source: RNAcentral
AUGCAGAGAUACCUUUCACAACUUGAUUCACAUGUUUGGAUCAUUUGCAUCGAUGGAUUCAGAGUACUACUCCUGGCACUCCCUUUUUCUUGGCUUGCUGAAGAAAGAAAGCAACCAACCAACAAAUUUAGAGGAGGGGCUCGCAAGCAAGCAAGCAGGCCAAGAGAGCAAAGGAGGGGCUUACCAUCAGCAAUGUGGGAGCCGGGCGAGGUAGCGCUUGCUGAGACGAUCGAUGGAGAUGCCGAGGUCGCCGGGCGUGGGGGGGCGUUUUGGUUUCUUGGCCUGCUGAAGCAGCCGAAGGCGGUCCACGACGGCGCGUGCUUCGAGCUGGACGAGCGUGACGUCGUGUGGCUGGCCGGCGGUAGCGAUGGGGACGUGGACGGGUGGUCGGCCACGCUUCCAGCUGAGGCGGCGGUGCCCCCGCGGCGCGUCGCUCGGCGCACGCCGAGCCACAGAGCUUUGAGCUGUCGUCGGUGUCGGGGAGCUGUUGUCACCCUGGUCGUGCCUGUGAGGCCGGGUCACAGCGCCGCGGCACAUCAGGGGCGACAACGACUGAGCCAACCAAUAGGCAACAACGGCCCAAGAGGGAGAGGCGCCGGUGACGCGGGUGAGGCAGAGGUGCCGGCGAGGCGUGCGAGGGAGAGGCCGCGGAGGCAGUGGGAGACGAGGCCGCCGGUUGUGCGGCUGUGGGGGCGAGAGUGGAGGGAGCGUGGGUGA